GAUGAACGCUGGCGGCGUGCCUAAUACAUGCAAGUCGAGCGAACGGACGAGAAGCUUGCUUCUCUGAUGUUAGCGGCGGACGGGUGAGUAACGCGUGGAUCACCUACCUAUAAGACUGGGAUAACUUCGGGAAACCGGAGCUAAUACCGGAUAAUAUUUUGAACCGCAUGGUUCAAAAGUGAAAGACGGUCUUGCUGUCACUUAUAGAUGGAUCCGGGCUGCAUUAGCUAGUUGGUAAGGUAACGGCUUACCAAGGCAACGAUGCAUAGCCGACCUGAGAGGGUGAUAGGCCACACGGGAACUGAGACAGGGUCCAGACUCCUACGGGAGGCAGCAGUAGGGAAUCUUCCGCAAUGGGCGAAAGCCUGACGGAGCAACGCCGCGUGAGUGAUGAAGGUCUUCGGAUCGUAAAACUCUGUUAUUAGGGAAGAACAUAUGUGUAAGUAACUGUGCACAUCUUGACGGUACCUAAUCAGAAAGCCACGGCUAACUACGUG
This 497-nucleotide ribosomal RNA is filed under the name uncultured bacterium. RNAcentral describes it as "partial 16S ribosomal RNA". It matches the Rfam family "Bacterial small subunit ribosomal RNA", at positions 28 to 507 of the family's 1533-position model. The record is from RNAcentral.